AGAGUUUGAUCCUGGCUCAGAACGAACGCUGGCGGCAUGCCUAACACAUGCAAGUCGAACGCAUGGUUUCGGUUCGCCGGGGCCAUGAGUGGCGCACGGGUGAGUAGCGCGUGGGAACCUGCCCUCUUGUGGGGGAUAACCGAGGGAAACUUCGGCUAAUACCGCAUAAGCCGGCUGUCUCGAGAGGGGUGGCCGGGAAAGAUUUAUCGCGAGAGGAGGGGCCCGCGUCCGAUUAGCUAGUUGGUGGGGUAACGGCCUACCAAGGCAGCGAUCGGUAGCUGGUCUGAGAGGAUGAUCAGCCACACUGGGACUGAGACACGGCCCAGACUCCUACGGGAGGCAGCAGUGGGGAAUAUUGGACAAUGGGGGCAACCCUGAUCCAGCAAUGCCGCGUGAGUGAUGAAGGCCUUCGGGUUGUAAAGCUCUUUCGCCCGCGACGAUGAUGACGGUAGCGGGAGAAGAAGCCCCGGCUAACUUCGUGCCAGCAGCCGCGGUAAUACGAAGGGGGCGAGCGUUGUUCGGAUUUACUGGGCGUAAAAGGGCGCGUAGGCGGCCAUUCGAGUCGAGUGUGAAAGCCCCGGGCUCAACCUGGGAACGGCGCUCGAGACUGGGUGGCUGGAGUUCGGGAGAGGAGCGUGGAAUUCCCAGUGUAGAGGUGAAAUUCGUAGAUAUUGGGAAGAACACCGGUGGCGAAGGCGGCGCUCUGGACCGAGACUGACGCUGAGGCGCGAAAGCGUGGGGAGCAAACAGGAUUAGAUACCCCUGUAGUCC
Molecule: ribosomal RNA, 771 nt
Filed under: uncultured bacterium
Lineage: Bacteria
Description: bacterial SSU rRNA
Rfam family: Bacterial small subunit ribosomal RNA
Source: RNAcentral